AUGGUGCAGCGCUUUAUAAUGGACAUGGACUACUCAGCGGUAGGGCUGCAACAAUACAUAGCUCCCAUAUCUUCCCAUAAACCCAUGGCGCAUUGCCCUCAUCUCCGCUCGCCGGCGCCGGCGACACUUCCACCGCCACCGUCAUCCACCAUGAACGCUCUCCAGCUCCCCUUUCAACCACUCAAGCCGUCGUCAAUCUUAAACACCACCACCUUAAAGGGCCUUUUUGCCACGGCUCUGAACCUGCUUGAGGACCGCGUGAUCGUCCCGCUCGAGGCGAGGAGGCAACUACCCAGCUGCGUCGACCCGGCUGUGCAGCUCGCCGGCAACUUCGCGCCCGUGCAGGAGAUGCCGUCCCCGCUGCGGAACCUGGGUGUCACCGGCGAGAUCCCGCCCGCUCUGCUCGGCGGCGUGUACGUACGUAACGGCGCGAACCCACUACUCCCGCCGACGGCAGGGCACCACCUCUUCGACGGCGACGGGAUGCUCCACGUGGUGUCGCUGCCGUCAUCUUCGUCUUUGGCGCCGUCGGGGGCAUCUUACACGCGUCGGUUCACGCGCACCAGCCGGCUCGCGCAGGAGGAGGCGCUGGGCCGGUGUGCGUUCCCAAAGGCCAUCGGCGAGCUUCACGGCGGCGCGGGCCUCGCCCGGCUCGCUCUCUUCGGCCUCCGCGCGGCUGCCGGCGUCGUUGAUGUCAGAAACGGCGCCGGCGCUGCAAACGCCGGGCUCGUCUACUUUGGUGACCGUCUCCUCGCGCUAUCUGAGGACGACCUGCCGUAUCACGUGCACGUCGGCAGCGGCGGUGACCUGAGCACCGUAGGCCGGUUGGACUUCGCCGGGCAGCUGCGCUCCCCAAUGAUCGCGCACCCGAAGGUCGACCCCGUCACCGGGGAACUCUUCGCGCUGAGCUACGACCCCGUGAGGAGGCCGUACCUGCGGUACUUCCACGUGGACCCGGCCACCGGCGAGAAGUCCCGCGAUGUGGAGGUGGCACUCCGGCAGCCGACGAUGGUGCACGACUUUGCCGUCACCGAGACCUUCACCGUGAUCCCCGACCAGCAGGUGGUGUUCGACAUGGGCCGGAUGCUACGUGGCGGCUCGCCGCUCGUGCACGACGCCGGGAAGGUCUCCCGCUUCGGCCUACUCCCGCGGUAUGACUCGGACGAUUCCCGGAUGCGGUGGUUUGACGUGCCGGACUGCUUCUGCUUCCACGUCUGGAAUGCAUGGGAGGAGACCGACCACGCCGGCGACGGGCCGGACACCGUCGUCAUCAUUUGCUCCUGCAUGACGCCGCCUGACGCGCUCUUCUCGGAAGCCGCCGCCGAUGCCACGGCGAACUUGCGCGCCACCCUGACCGAGAUCCGGCUGGACCUCCGGACGGGGAUGUCGCGGCGGCGUGAGCUUGCCUCGGGGCUGAGCCUGGAGGCCGGCACUGUGAACCGGACCCUGCUGGGGCGGCGGACGCGGUACGCGUACCUCGCCAUCGCGGAGCCGUGGCCGCGGUGCCGGGGCGUGGCCAAGGUGGACCUGGCGACCGGUGAGGCUGUCGCGGUGCAUCAGUACGGCACCGGGCGGUUCGGCGGCGAAGCGUCGUUCGUGCCGGCGGCUGACGAUGAUGAGAGGGAGGACGAGGGGCACGUGGUGGUGAUGGUGCACGAUGAGGCGGCGAGCACGUCAGAGCUGGCCGUGCUAGACGCGGUCACCAUGGAGGCGGUGACAACGGUGGCGCUGCCGUGCCGCGUGCCCUACGGCUUCCAUGGCGCGUUCCUCACUAGAGACCAGCUCGCCACUCAGAGGACUUUUAUCUCCUAG
This 1812-nucleotide ribosomal RNA is filed under the name Triticum aestivum (bread wheat). Its description in RNAcentral is "partial small subunit ribosomal RNA". Lineage: Eukaryota; Viridiplantae; Streptophyta; Magnoliopsida; Poales; Poaceae. The record is from RNAcentral.